UCGCGCCGUAGAGAAGAGAGGUGGUCGGGUUGGGACAGGGCUCUGGUUCGGCCGCUACCUGAGACGAAUCGACGAGUCUUCUAUCAAAGUCUCGCAUUGCAGAGCAGAACCUGGAGUUCAAGACCAAGAAUGAUGUGACCAAGAAUGAUGUAAUCGAAACACUGAAUAUGAUUGUCAAGGAAAAGUCACAAAAGAUUACUACUAUGCAGAAUGAAGUAACUUCCCUCGAGGCCAAAGGGUCUUUAGCUGCAGAGGAGCAGGCAAGCAAGGCCAAUGCACUGGCCAUUGAGCUCGAGAAGCAGACCGAGAAGCUCAAGAAGGAUAUUACAAAACAAAAAAUAAAAAAAGAAGCUCUAGAGGCUAGGGCUGGCAAUGCUGAUAAGAAGGUGCAAGAGCUAAAUAUGAAGCUGGAGAAGCUCCAGAGGACAAGCAGUGAUCAAAAGCGCAGGAUUCAGAAGACUGGACAUGCUCUUAAAGCUGCUGAGGACGAGCUGAUGAAGGCUCAGUUGGAAACAACAACAAAAGUAAAACAGCUUAGAGAGCUGGACUGCUCUAAUUUUGAGGACUCAUGAAGCUGAAAAAAUACAAACUCACUUUUUGCUAAACCCUAGCAUAUUCCAGUUCUUGGGCAUGCAGUUGCUAUCAGGGAACUGUUGACACAUAUACAGAUCAACUUAGCAACAAUGAAUUGUCAUCGCCACCAAAAAACAUACCCAGGUUAGCAAAGCCAUGCCAGAUUCUUCAUGUUCCAAGAAUGAUGACAGUUAGAUCAUCCUGAAAUAUAUCAAGGUAUGACACCAUUCAGGAUCCUUUGUACACAAACCUCGCACCCUCGUUUUCCCUUUUUCCCCAUUACAACAAGCAAAACUACAUCGUGUCUAACAAAAAAAACCAUAUUUAAGUAUCCUGAUAAUUUGUUUCCACAAAUCAACAACCAUAACCCAAAAUAAUGUAUUACUAAUAAUUAAAGCCACUACUUCUGGCUUUAUCUAGAAACCUAUAUGCAUAAUUUGCGAACUUGCCUGGCCGGACCCAUAAUAGCUUUAUCUUUUGCUUACCAAACUUACUAACUCCAGCAACUUAUUUCUUUAAAGUUAUCCUGUCAUUCAUGAUUUUUGUUUGAAUGCUUUGAACCUUUUCUUCAAACAUUACCUAGAUGCACUUGCCACUGUUCUUAAUAAACCUGCUUGUGUACUGUUAUUCACUUAAAUAUUGUCAUAACAAUGUGUUAGACUGUUAGCCUCUUCAUGUACCUUAUUCGAGAAGCACAACUUUCAAUUAAGUUUUUGUAACUUGAGACUUAGUACCUGCUUGCCAUGAUUAGAGGGAAAGAUAAAAUAAACAUGUUAUGUGUAAUUGUUUCUCUCCUUUGAAAGAAUAUUAUUUCUUUUAUAAUCCUAAUAUUGCAUUGAGCUCUUUGAUGCUGUCUAGACUAACAUACUCCAAUCAUUUGUAUACAUGUAUUAGUUUUUUUGCAAGCAUAGAAGAGGCUCCAUCACUUUUGGUCAUGAGACUUUUAUGUACAUAUGAACCUGAUGUUGAAGCCUUCCUAGAACUAUGUGUGUCUAUGCAAGAAACGCUUAAUCACUUUUGAUCAAUAGACUUUUGUGUACAUAUGACUCUGCUAUUGAAGCCUUUCUAGAACUAUGUUUGUCUAUGCAAACUUUACAGA
This is an RNA transcript of Zea mays, 1672 nucleotides long. It is a transcript of the gene named myosin heavy chain pseudogene, with no coding region annotated. The record is from RefSeq and is marked validated. The transcript has 8 exons. Lineage: Eukaryota; Viridiplantae; Streptophyta; Magnoliopsida; Poales; Poaceae.